Molecule: ribosomal RNA, 253 nt
Filed under: uncultured bacterium
Lineage: Bacteria
Description: partial 16S ribosomal RNA
Rfam family: Bacterial small subunit ribosomal RNA
Source: RNAcentral
UACGGAGGGAGCUAGCGUUGUUCGGAAUUACUGGGCGUAAAGCGCACGUAGGCGGCUUUGUAAGUUAGAGGUGAAAGCCUGGGGCUCAACCCCAGAAUUGCCUUUAAGACUGCAUCGCUUGAAUCCAGGAGAGGUGAGUGGAAUUCCGAGUGUAGAGGUGAAAUUCGUAGAUAUUCGGAAGAACACCAGUGGCGAAGGCGACUGACUGGACAUGUAUUGACGCUGAGGUGCGAAAGCGUGGGGAGCAAACAGG